This 498-nucleotide ribosomal RNA is filed under the name uncultured bacterium. RNAcentral's name for it is "partial 16S ribosomal RNA". It matches the Rfam family "Bacterial small subunit ribosomal RNA", at positions 899 to 1397 of the family's 1533-position model. The record is from RNAcentral.
ACUCAAAUGAAUUGACGGGGGCCCGCACAAGUGGUGGAGCAUGUGGUUUAAUUCGAUGAUACGCGAGGAACCUUACCUGGGCUAGAAUGUGCGUGAAGGGCUCAGAAAUGGGUCCGUCCUUCGGGACACAAAACAAGGUGCUGCAUGGCCGUCGUCAGCUCGUGCCGUGAGGUGUUGGGUUAAGUCCCGCAACGAGCGCAACCCCUAUGGUUAGUUGCCAGCACGUAAUGGUGGGGACUCUAGCCAGACUGCCUCCGCAAGGAGUGAGGAAGGCGGGGACGACGUCAGGUCAUCAUGGCCCUUACGCCCAGGGCUACACACGUGCUACAAUGGACGGUACAGCGGGUUGCGACACGGUGACGUGAAGCCAAUCUCGAAAAGCCGUUCUCAGUUCGGAUCGAAGUCUGCAACUCGACUUCGUGAAGCUGGAAUCACUAGUAAUCGCGUAUCAGCAAUGACGCGGUGAAUACGUUCCCGGGCCUUGCACACACCGCCCGU